ACAAUCUUGGCCUUUAACCAAAUGAGCUAACUACCCAGGUUAGUCCAGUACUCUAGAAAAUGUUUUACACAAAUCUGCUUUAGGAAUUACCUGCUUAUCCUCACUGAUAAUGCCUUAGCAGUAAAGAUUAUUUCAAAGUACAUUCUUUCAUGUUUUCUUCUGGCUUUCAGUCCUACCUAAGUAUUAAGGAAAGUACAUUGUAAAUAUGGUAGUUGUUUACAAAGGAUAUGUACUGCUCUUGCAAGGAAAUAAUGUCCAAACAAAGCUUCACUUAUUUUUUUUAAUAGAAGCAUAUUUCACUGUUUAUGGCGCUUAUGUAAUACAUUUUUAUCUUUUUAAAUGACUUGUCCAUGUAAAAGUCAGGGUUCCUUUAUAUUUGUGAGCCUCCUUGUCACCUUUCUAUGGUUUUCAGAUCUGCAGGAUAGUCAAGGAUGGUUAAGUAAAAACACAAAAUCCAUUUUCCUCUUGUUAAAAUGUUCCAUUUUAGGGGUGUUUGUUUUCUAUAGCUCAAAAACAGCUGCAGCACAUUCUGAACACAGUGAUGGACAGCAGGCACCUCCCUAACCUCCCCAAAUGUAUCACUCAUCUCUGAAGUAUUGAAGUUAGAGGUAACUCAAGCAGGAUACUGGUUAUGAAUGUAGAUGUUGAAGCUAUUCAAAAACACUGGAAGUCAGUCUUUCCAUUUCUAGCCUUCAGUAGAAUGCACUUUUUUGACGUGCAUGUGGACUAUUUCAAGAAGUACUCGUAGACAUUGGGUCAUCUAGAAUGGAUACAAGGAUUUUUAGUGGGAGUUGCUUUUUUAUUUUCGUGUCCACAGUUAUUCUAUAUUACUAGUUGCAGCUGUUAAAGAUAAGGUUGUUGGUGUAGGUGUCAGGUGUGCAAUGAAGAACAGGAAUCUUGGUUUCCUCACCAGUGUCCAAACACCUAUUCUUGAGGGAACAUUUUCUUGCAAAAGACUUUACAUUUUGUUUUGUAUCUUCGCACUUUUUCUUUAUUACAGAAAGGUUCUGUGUUUUGAGACCUACUUUGAACUUCAUGCGGUAAUGUGGGGGGGAUUGCAUUGUUCAAAGCAUAGGGGAAAGUACUAAAGCCUGAUUUUCCUUGAAUUUUUGAAAAUUUUUUAAUCCACUUACUAGUGUAAAGGUUUGCAGUGUUUUGUUUUAUUCCACACAGCUUACAGUGUUGAGAUUUAUUAGUGCUGAAAAACAAAAUUUAACAAGUUAAAAAUGGCAGGCUGUUUGUAGUAACCCUGCAGAAAAAGAGAGCUGUGGUGGGAAUUUGGAACAUUUACUCUAAAAAGAACAUGUUAGUUGCACUGCCAUGUCCUCCAUGUUAAUGGAGGCGGCUUUGGUGGGGAGAGGAAGGAGGCUCACAUGGUAGUGUUGGAACAGAUAAUUGACAGCUUGAUAACAAAAACAGUAGUGCCAGGAGAUGCUCAGUCUUUAGGGCACAACUGUUAUGACUCCAUCCAAGCUAGGAAACUGGUUUGCUCUGUUACCUUAUGCAAUAUUUUGCUUUGUAUUUGUUUUGUUUUUUUUUUUUCCUCCUGGGAAAACUUUGUUUCUGUGCCAAGUAUUCUCUGCUUUUGUCAAUGUCUUAUAGUUAUGAAGGGUUAGCAUUUAGCACACUUUGUAUUUAACCACCUGCUUCUAUGACUGAGUCUCCAAAUAACCAUGUGAUAAAGAGGUCUAUGUUACAAAAUGACUGUUAAAGGCCAUUUCUGACAGUUUGCUUGAAUACAGUGGCACCUUGUGGUUGACUUUUUUUUUUUUUUUGGAUGGAGGAUAAUUCUUGUGUGAAAGGAAAUAAUUUGUAAUCUGCCUUAGCUGAUUUGUUUAGUGUUUUUUCUUACUGGCUUCCAUAUCACACGUCUUAACCAAAAAUAUGCAGUACCUGGAAGCCAUGCUCGCAGGGCACUUAGAUUCUUGGCUAAUCUUCUAAGACUGUUCUGAUUUUCACUCUCUUGAAGUAUUCUUUCUGUACCUGUAUAAUGAGGUAGAGAAGGCACAUGUGAAGGUGUUUCUUUUUCCCCUUUAGUACAGUUCAGUAUGUUUAAUGCUCAGUAACAGUGUUGUAAUUGAGUUAACUAGUAAAUGGUUCUUCUAAAAAUUAUUUUUAAGUGUAUGUUGAUGUAUCAUGCUUUACUUGGGAAGUUAAAGUGCAAGGUCUGAGGAAAGUAUUUCUAAGUCCCAGUUUAACAAAAACUUUUGUGAGCUCAAUCAAUAUCCACCCUUCAAUUUUUUAGCAUUCUGAAUUACCUUUCUGGAGGUAAUUCAGCUGGCCUGGCACUCUGGACCAGGCUGGCUUCAGUCUUGUGGCAGUCCUUGUGCCUCUGCCUCUUGAAUGUUAGGAAUGCAGGUACUUAGCACUCAAUUCUUUUACCUUCACUGGAACAUUUCUAAAAUACUAUUCAACACUCCAGGAACUGAGUGGCCUCCUGUUAGUCACCAUAGUUUGCAUUUAAAAGCCUACAGCUUAGAAUAGAACUACCAGGGAUUUUUUUUUCUAAAGUAUCAGGUUUAUGAUUUUUUUUUUCAUGUCCAUGUAGAUGCCUGGAUUCAAAUCUUAAAAAAGUUACCGACUACUCAAAAUUACAGUGAGAUACAUGGGACUUAUUGUUUUGGGUAUUUUGAGAGGGUCUUGUUUUGUAACCCAGGCUGGCCUGGAAUUAGUGAUCCUCCUGAUUGCUGGGAUUAUAGGUAUGUAUUACCCCAGCCCAGCAAGGAUUUGUUUACUGAAGUCCCACAGCUGCUUUAUAGUCAUUUGGGGAGAGCAGCUAGAGAUGCGCAGUGAAAGUGAACCCUGUCAUACCACUGUGCCUUGCUUGUUUCAAGGUUUUUCUGAGUUCUCAUUCUGAAGAUUGUUUUCCAGUUGCAAGUUAGAGUCAAGCCAGCUGCCCAGCCUUAACUCUGUUCAGUGCCCUGUUACUAACAUUUUUAACAGAUUGGUUUCUACGUGUUUAAACUGUCCAGCGUUGGAUUUUACCUCUUGCUAGUUCCAUUUGUCCCUGGUGCUGCUUUUAAAGGUAUAGGGCCCUGUGAAGUGUCCAGUGGAGUAGGUACGCAGUUGGCCUGGUAAUGGAAAAGCUGCUUUGGAAUAGAUGUUUACUUGGGUUCCUGUGCAGAACUGGGCAGCAAUCCUGGAAAGCUCUGUAAAGCCUGUAAGAAAGGAUUUGAAGAGCCCUUAAGUCUUUGAACAUGAAGCACAUGUGUGCAUGCUGUCAAAAGACUGGAGUGAUUGUCAUACCAGGGCUUCCUGACCUCCACGAGACACUUUCAAAAGGCAACAGAGGAGCACCAAGGGAAGUGAAUUUGCUUGGCUUGCUUUGUCUGCUUUCUUAUUUUCUUACCAUUUAAACCUGAACGAAACACCCUUCUCCGGUAUCUGAUCCAGCAAACUUGGUUGGGAAGCCCUGUGUUGAAUUUUGAGAAUGUACCCAACUUUUUGUACAGUGCUUUACACCUGCUAAAAUUUAACUUGUUUAAUGCAGAAAGACCUUGAAUGGUCAGUCAUUAAAUCUGGUUUGAUUAUUAAUAGCUAUCUUUUAGGAAGAAGCUUUUUCCCUAUGUACGAUGUCAUACUGCAGACUUAAAAUAUAGACUAUCAAUAAAAUGCAUGAAGUAA
Mastomys coucha (southern multimammate mouse) is the source of this 3624-nucleotide RNA transcript. RefSeq lists it as uncharacterized. The record is from RefSeq and is a predicted model, not a curated record. The transcript has a single exon. NCBI's taxonomy places the organism in Eukaryota, Metazoa, Chordata, Mammalia, Rodentia, Muridae.